RNAcentral lists this ribosomal RNA (1335 nucleotides) under Triticum aestivum (bread wheat). RNAcentral describes it as "partial small subunit ribosomal RNA". Lineage: Eukaryota; Viridiplantae; Streptophyta; Magnoliopsida; Poales; Poaceae. The record is from RNAcentral.
AUGAAGAAGGCUGACAAGUUCGAGUGGACUCCAGAAGCUGAUGCAGCGUUUGCCGAGCUAAAAGCUCUGCUCUCCACCCAGCCGGUGCUUGCUGCUCCAAUCAGCAAAGAGCCUCUGUUGCUCUACAUCGCAGCCACAGGACAAGUCGUCAGUACUGUGCUAACGGUCGAGCGGGAAGAAGAAGGAAAAGCUCUCAAAGUUCAGCGCCCAGUGUAUUAUUUGUCUGAAGUCUUGACUCCAUCCAAGCAAAGAUAUCCCCAUUAUCAGAAGCUUGUGUACGGAAUAUACAUGACCACAAAGAAGGUUGCUCAUUAUUUCUCUGACCAUUCAAUCACAGUCGUCAGCGACGCUCCACUAUCAGAGAUUUUGCACAACAGAGAUGCAACUGGUCGAGUGGCCAAAUGGGCGAUUGAACUUCUUCCCCUUGAUAUCAAGUUUGAGGCAAAGAAAGCCAUUAAGUCCCAGGCAAUAGCAGAUUUCCUCGCCGAGUGGAUCGAACAACAGCAGUCGACUGAAGUUCACUCGGAGCAUUGGACCAUGUUUUUCGAUGGUUCUAAGAUGUUGAAUGGUUCCGGUGCUGGGGUUGUCCUGGUUUCCCCCAGAGGAGAUAAGCUCAGAUAUGUGCUCCAGAUUCACUUUGAUUCCUCCAACAAUGAGGCAGAAUAUGAGGCCCUCCUGUAUGGGUUGCGCAUGGCCAUUUCACUCGGCGUCCGUCGCCUAAUGGUCUAUGGCGACUCGGAUUUAGUGGUCAAUCAGGUGAUGAAAGAGUGGGACGUGAGAAGCCCAGCCAUGACUGGAUACUGCAAUGCAGUGAGGAAGCUGGAGAAAAAGUUCGAGGGGUUGGAGCUCCAUCAUAUACCCCGACUGAAGAAUCAAGCAGCUGAUGAUCUAGCAAAGAUAGGUUCCAAGAGAGAAGCCAUUCCGAGUGGCGUGUUCUUGGAGCAUAUACAUACUCCGUCAGUCAAAGAAGACCCUUUCACAGAAGGAACUCCACAGCCUAAGAGCGCCGCAGAUCCGACUGAAGUGGAAGUCCCAGCAGUGGUCGACUUGGUCAUGGAGGAAGAAAGGGAGAUGGCUCUGAUCCGCUCGACCAUCUACCAACAAGAUCUGCGCCGUUUCCACGCCCGAAAUGUGAGAGGUCGAGCCUUCCAGGAAGGGGAUCUGGUUCUCCGAGUGGAUCAGCACAAACCACACAAGCUUGCUCCUUCUUGGGAAGGCCCCUUCAUCGUCACUAAGGUUCUCCACAACGGGGCGUACCGUCUUUACAACGUCGAGCAUAAUAUCGACGAACCCCGAGCUUGGAACGCGGAGCUACUCCGCCCAUUUUACACUUAA